Molecule: microRNA precursor, 84 nt
Filed under: Simian virus 12
Lineage: Floreoviria; Shotokuvirae; Cossaviricota; Papovaviricetes; Sepolyvirales; Polyomaviridae
Description: precursor
Source: RNAcentral
CAGAGCCUGAGGUAUCUGAGGCUUGGGAAAAGCACUGUGACUGAGAUUCAGUGCUUGAUCCAUGUCCAGAGUCUUCAGUUUCUG